UCAGCAACCAUUGGCCUAGUUGGAUCAGAGU
This 31-nucleotide non-coding RNA is filed under the name Mus musculus (house mouse). The record is from RNAcentral. Lineage: Eukaryota; Metazoa; Chordata; Mammalia; Rodentia; Muridae.